RNAcentral lists this long non-coding RNA (1299 nucleotides) under Lactuca sativa (garden lettuce). RNAcentral describes it as "long non-coding RNA (LSAT_LNC006175)". The record is from RNAcentral. Lineage: Eukaryota; Viridiplantae; Streptophyta; Magnoliopsida; Asterales; Asteraceae.
CGCCGUAAUGCGGUUGUCUUCAUCCUUCUAAUAUACAAAGGUCUGUCUCUUUCUCUCACACAUAUUUGACAAACGUAUGCAUUCUUUGAUUUUUAGUUCCCUCACUGAUUUGAUGAACUGAUUCGGUGAGUCCACCUGACACAAGAGCAAUAAGAUAAACAUAUUUGGUUUUGAAAGAGUUGAAUAGAUUUCAUAGCUUUUGGGGUUUUUCAGGUAACUGGGUUUCUGCUUAUAAUCAUAUGGGUUUUUCUUUAGCUGAAUUUGGAAUGAUAAUAUUAGUCUCCCACAAAUUUCUUUGAUGUAAAUUGGCUCCAGAUUUUGUGCUAAGUAUUUGAGUAAUUUCCCCUGUAUCUGAAUUUAAAUUUGAAAAAAAAAAAUCGAACCUAAUUGUUCUCAAAGUGAGAAUCGUUUUUGACCAAUAGUUUAAUAUAAUAUUCAAUUUUUGCAAAUUUCCUUACGAUUUGAUACACGAUAGAUUUAAGACAAAUAUGGUUUGUUCUCUGAUAGUCGUAGCCUUCUAGUUAAGAGUUUGAAUGUCAAAGGUCAAAUACCGAUUUCUCUCAGAUGCAAUACAGUCAAAUCUUGAGAAUUCAUGUUGAAUUUUUUUUUUUCUACAGUCACACAUGAACAAUCCCAUCGACUUUGAAGGUUCUUGACACACACACACGAUGACUUUGUGCUUUAGGGUUUUCUUUUGGGUUCCACAAACUUAUCGUGUUUCUGGACAGGUUUUAGGGUAAUUAUUUUCGAUUUCAUUUCUGGUCACACAUAAUUUCAAUUUCGUUUAUGGGCACACACUAACACCGACCAUCACCACACCUAUUGUGAAUCAGAUUUUAAGAUCAAAGUUGAACGUCUUUGCGAGUACAGCUCUUAUAAUAUUUGAUACAUGCAUAAGAGGAGAGGGGCGCUAUAUAUGUUUUGGCCUUCUGGGCGAACAAUUCAGAAAAGGGCGAAGUCUUUUCUCUUGAUUUUCUGAAGUUGUUAGGGGCACCGCAACACCUUUGUUCUUCGAGAAUACAUACAAACCCACACAUUUGGUCUCGGGUGAUUCAAAGAGACGGGGAUAAAAAGAAUGUGAUAAAUAUCUUCUUAAAUAGGUUCUAAUGCUAAUUUUAACAUUAGAUAUCUACUGAUGGAGGUGAGAUUCGUAGCCAUCAGUGACAUGAGAACACUUUCCUUCUAUAUGGCUUUCAUUUUGAAUCAUAUAAACCCAGAAACAAUGAUACACAUGUAGUUCUGGUUAAACCAGAAAAACAAUUAUUUUCAUGAUUUCACACAAAAGGAUUGGGUAGGGGA